Molecule: long non-coding RNA, 1965 nt
Organism: Ctenopharyngodon idella (grass carp)
Lineage: Eukaryota; Metazoa; Chordata; Actinopteri; Cypriniformes; Xenocyprididae
Exons: 4
Source: RefSeq, a predicted model, not a curated record
GGGAGUAGCUGACACGAACUAUGCUGUGCGUCACAGCCAAUACAGCUCCGCACGCGGACAGCAGCACGAGUCCGUGUCUCUUCAUUUAUUAAUAUAUAUUUUCCCCCUUUUCAAGACAUCCCAUCACACAGAUACACUCUACUACCCUUGUACCUUAGGGAGUGUGACGCAAUAUCCAAGACUUGUCUGGUCUGGACAACGAUUUAAAGGAGACCUGUGCAAGAGCAGUGAAACUAUUCUUGAAGUCAUGGAGGACAACCUCUCGCUGGCAACAAAGAGAUGUCUAAACUUCAGCAUCAUCCUGAAGGAAACUGUGGUCAUGGAGGACUGACUUUACCACUGCUUUCAUGACCCUUUUCACAUGACGUCACACAGCUUCCGGUUGGACUCGAAGCAGUGCAUCCUCACUUCCGUCAGCAUGGUGGAAUACUAGCGCCGCUCGAAUGAAGUGCACCCAAUAGUUGUACAUAUGCCACAAAUGUGGUUAGAGGAUGACUGUAGUCGCCUAAUUUCAUGUAAAUUCAAGGCGAGGUGUUCGGCAGAUCUCAAACGAACUUACCGAUUGGCAAGAUUUGCUGCUUGAAGUCGGAGGAGGAGUUGAAUACGGAGCACUGAAGCCGUACACUUUCUGCUGCCCGUAGUAACGUGCAAACUUUGCUGUCUUUAUUGCAGAUGAAGCUGUUUAUAUGUAUUUGUCAGUAUUUGUGAAAUAAAUGCACGUUUCCGACAUUUACGUGCAGAAAAAACUUUUCAAUGUUUAAUGUACCACGUAUUUCAGUGCAUGUAUGUACAAUGAAGAUCAACAUAAGCUUAUUCUUUUUAAUUAUCAAAAGGUCUAUUUUUUCAGUUUUAUUUCGAUAAAUAUGACAUACAUAAUAAUAAAAAUUGUUUACUAUAAUACUAUUUCUACAUGAACACUGUUAAUGUUGUAAAAACUGACUCUUGUACAUGGUAUUUUUAUUAGUAAAAAAACAUCGUCAUCAUUCAUCUCUUUAUUGUAGAACAAGACUUUUUGUAUGCGACAUACAAAAAUAUACAGAGGAUUUACAACAGUACUCAUUGUUAUAGCAGCAUAUGAAUUAAAUAAAAUUAUUUUUCCAGGGAAUAACAUUAAAUGAACACAUACUUCCGUUUUGUAUUUUCAAUACACUUCUUACAAAUUAUACAAUCUUAAUAUAUUGCACCAGUUCAGUUUAAACUGGUAUGAUGUAAAAUGAUCUAAAAUCUUCCCACCAUUAAUUCUUCGGAGUAUUAUAUGUGGAUGUGCUACUUUCAGGUGUCCAUUACUCAUGAAUAAAUCUCACAAGAAACAAUACCGUUAUCAUAGCCUACCAAUUUCUAAAAAUAAAGAUUUGUUUUUAAAUACAAUAUUCUUGUUAUUCCAAAUAGGCUAACAGAUUUGUGUGCACGCACAAUCAUUGUGAUAAAACUCUGACAGCAAUUCACGGACACAACAUUGCUAAAGUUUCUGCUUGUAGAAAACCCUAAGCAAGGCAGUUACAGAAAGGAAAUAAUAAAUAACGUUACCAAAAGAAGCCGACUGUGUAAAUUCUUGACAUAAACAGUUCGCGUUUAAAGUUAUUAAAGCAUUUUCCCGAGACGUCGCCAACGCGAAGGUAAGACGGAAUAACAGAUCCACUGCUUUGCGGAUAGGCGGUAAGUUAACUGACGUCAUUGUGAAAAGGGCCUAUUGUUGCUGAGUAAGAGGCUUUAUACUAUAUUUAAGGUUUGGAACAUUAGGUCUUGCUGUAUUUAAGCAUUUGUAAAUAAGAACAGAAAGAUCCAUGAUUUUGGUAUUGGGUAAGCUUGUGUGAAAAGAAAAUGUAAGCAUUUUAGAAAUGUGUUAAUUGACCGUAUAUUGUGUGAAAACAACAUGAAUUGUAUUAAUGUUAUGGUCACAACAGACGGAUGUUGUGCCAAUUGUGUUUAGAGUUUCGAAAAUGUGACUACGGAUUGGACAAAAGU